Molecule: transfer RNA, 89 nt
Filed under: Murinocardiopsis flavida
Lineage: Bacteria; Bacillati; Actinomycetota; Actinomycetes; Streptosporangiales; Nocardiopsidaceae
Description: Nocardiopsis sp. 14-Be-013 tRNA
Rfam family: tRNA
About the family: Transfer RNA (tRNA) molecules are approximately 80 nucleotides in length. Their secondary structure includes four short double-helical elements and three loops (D, anti-codon, and T loops).
Source: Rfam by way of RNAcentral
GGAGGAUUCGCCUAGUCCGGUCGAUGGCGCCGCACUGCUAAUGCGGUUGAGUGGCAACGCUCUCCGGGGUUCAAAUCCCCGAUCCUCCG